UAGGAAGAAUGUCGCAUCUGUUUGCCACC
Molecule: non-coding RNA, 29 nt
Filed under: Mus musculus (house mouse)
Lineage: Eukaryota; Metazoa; Chordata; Mammalia; Rodentia; Muridae
Source: RNAcentral